Molecule: unclassified non-coding RNA, 282 nt
Filed under: fungal sp.
Lineage: Eukaryota; Fungi
Description: partial internal transcribed spacer region
Rfam family: Eukaryotic small subunit ribosomal RNA (bases 1-46)
Source: RNAcentral
AAGUCGUAACAAGGUUUCCGUAGGUGAACCUGCGGAAGGAUCAUUACCAAAUCCAAAUUACCUAACCCCAUGUGAACUAUUGUUUUAGUCUGUCUUUGGGAGAAGUUUCCUUCUUUUCUGUAAAAGGAAUUGAAUAGCUUCUCCCAAUAGAGUCCGGCAUAACUGUAUUGUUAUGUCCAGAUUCGAAAAACACCCUUUUAAACCACUUGAUUUUUCUGUUGGAAUUUUCUUUUAUAAUUAUCAAUAAAAGACAACUUUUAACGGCGGAUCUCUUGGCUCGUG